RNAcentral lists this transfer RNA (74 nucleotides) under Pseudomonas phage KPP10. It matches the Rfam family "tRNA". From Rfam's summary of the family: Transfer RNA (tRNA) molecules are approximately 80 nucleotides in length. Their secondary structure includes four short double-helical elements and three loops (D, anti-codon, and T loops). Lineage: Duplodnaviria; Heunggongvirae; Uroviricota; Caudoviricetes; Vandenendeviridae. The record is from Rfam by way of RNAcentral. RNAcentral also lists the same sequence under 14 other names.
AGGCGUGUGGCGAAAAGGUUUAACGCACUGGACUUUGACUCCAGCAUUUGUGGGUUCGAAUCCCACCACGUCUG